UUUGCGUGUGUGUGAUUUUUUGGGGGAAGGAGGGGAGGCUGGGUUGAUUUUUUUAUGGUUUAAUAAAGUAGAAGAAAAUUUAUAAGAAAUUUAUGUUCUGAUUUGAAUCCUACUGAUGCUCAUGGGAAUCCCUUUAGUGAAUAUUGGACCCAGUCCAAGAAAAGCAGGCUAUUAUUCCCCUCACUUCUAUUUAUCCAUAGCUGUGUCCUUCUGCUUGCAAUCUUGUUAGAGUUUGCCAGUAGAUUUAGUCUGAGCCUCAUCAGCGGGGAACCUGGAUAAGAAACUAUGGUCAGCUGCCUCUCAGCUCUGAGCCAGUCUUCCUGAAAGAGUGACAGCAACUUUGGAUGUCAUGACUGCGUGACACGCAGCUGCAACCUUGACCUGGUAGGAUCUCCUACAGUCAGACCCAGCACAGGGGUAUGUGACUUUUCUUUCUCUGUCAUGCUCUAGCCUGCUCUGCCAGCUGGAUGAUUUAAGCACACCAAAACCAGAACAGCUCAAUAAAAUGGUUUCUGCGUGAACAGUUCAAUGAAAAUAUCUGUGAUUGGUUGUGGUAGAAAAUGCAAAUUAAAAACCCUUUCGGAUAUACAAAAGAAAGACCAGAAAAUCACCCUGUGUUGCCAGGACCAGAACAAAGGCAGGCACUUGGAAGCUGUUCCCUGGAGGUGUUUGAAGAAUGUGUAGUUGUGGUACUAAGGAAGAUGGUUUAGUGGGCAACAUUGGUAAUAGGUGGACAGUUGGACUGGAUGAUCUUAGUGUUCUUUUCCAGCCUUUAUGAUUCUAUGAUUCUAAGCAACCUGGGCAGCUGGCUAUGAGGAAGCAGGUUCCAGCCCUGUCUCUGCCAAAGAGUUUCUGGCUGCUCUCUUUAGUGUGUAGUUGCUAAACCUGUGCACCUGCCAUGGAGGAGGUCAAUGAGAAAUCCUGGCUCUUGUUUCAGUGCCCUAGGGACAUGGGAAUGCUUUUGGGGAGUUUUGUACUUGCAUCACUUGCAUCUGCGCUGUCCUUGGUAAAUGUGUUUGAGUUCCAAGAGGUUAGAGUCAGGAGUACUUGUGCUGCUUGGAAGGACAUUUCCUACAUGGACCAGGCUCUUCUCUGCUGUUCAGAGAGCACGACAGUGUAUGGGACAGGUGGUAUGAACAGUCAGUGAGCUUGGGCUUGAAGCCUGAGCUUUGAGUUAUCCACUCACAAGUCUAUCAGCGCUUGGGAAUUCUGACUGAAGUUACGUCAAAGCCCAGGUACAAAGGCAGGAUGUAAAGCUUGCAGGAGUCAUUUUCAUCCUCUCUCCUUGGCUUCUGAUUGAGUUCAGAUCUGCACCAUCUCUUUCUUACUUCAGCGCUGUGUGUGUGGUGACACGCAUACUGACCUAUGUGUGCACAUGAGGAAGACCUCCAGAGCUGCGUCUGCUUCAGACGUGGCACUGAUGUCACCCCACGGAUGUUGCCUUGCUGUGAACAACGCAGUGGAUCAAAGUUGGUGUUAUUUCUUCUGUGGAGCACAGGGACCUCAAGGAUGGCUCUGGUGCAGCUGGCGCUCCCACGGUGGGCAAACACAGCCCGUGCCAGCCCUCUGCCCAACGUGCCUUCAUACCGCGGGGGUCAGAUUGGGCCGAGGCAGGUCCUAGGUGAGUGCUCCCACUGCUGAGCCUGCAGCUUGGUCACCAGCACCCUCCAGCCAGCCACAUAAACAUCACCCACCGGGCUCUGCUGCCCAUCCCCUGCUCCCCCAGCCAAGGGUCACGAGCUGCGGCCAGCAGUCGGCUGCCUAACGCGGCCGUGGCUCUGUGCAGCCAGCCUGCGAGAGGUCGUCACACGCCUCCUUAAGCAAACAGGGAUCCACGCCAGUUGAUAAAUCAUUUACGAGGAGAAGUCAGAAGCAAGGAACUAGAUUAACCAGGUCACUGGGUGUCCUGAGGGAAUGACGUGUCAGUGGAGCUGAAACAGCAGAUCCCGCAGUUGCAAUCUGUUGCCUUCUUCUGUCCUGACAGCAAUUCAUGGAAAUCCCUGGAACUAGACACUAGUGAUGGAAAAAUCCAUUAGCUCAUCCAAGUCAGCUUGCUAGUUAAAGCAGUCACUCCCAUUGUGCAUUUUUUGGCAGAGUUAAAAUGUCUCAAGAGAGGGGAUUUCCACCAGUUCCUUCUCAAGGGGAAACUAUUCCACCUAUCGGGAAAGCUGCCUCCAGUGGUGCUAUUUUUGUAAAAGAGAAGUAACUCCAAGCCCGAAAGGGAAAACAGAAAGGUUCUGAUGCAGAAACACAGGCAGCAGUAGUUAGUUUUCCCUGGCAGACAUGUGCCAUGCACAGCACAUCUGCAAUGGGAACACCAGGGGCCCACGUGUGUUUAUAUACAUCCACCUAGGUGUGUUUGUGUGUAUGCACAGCCUGCCUCUCCUUCCUCAGGCAGAUUAUGACCUUGUGCCUCCCUGGAUAAUCGACGUGUCGUAUCGUGAUCUCACAACCAGUUUACACUUAUGUAAUGCCACUGGCAUCAAGGUGAAAAAAACUGCUAAAUUGCUUUGAGGAGGGGACAGACGCGUGAAAAAAGAAAGGCACCAGCUGAUGCUGCUCCUCUGGCACACGCUUCCUGUCUGCAUGGGGACAUGGCAUGUCCCUUAGGGGCCUCAGUUCCCCAGCUGUGUGCCAGGCACAGCGACCACCCUCCUGGGGUCUUGUGGCUGAACGCAACCACUGGCAGCACCCUGCCUGCAGCAGUUGGGAAGGUGCUGCAGUGCAGAGAUAUGUUGAUGAGGCUUGUCGGCAGAGGCUAUGGAGAUUUUGGCAAACAGGAUUUCAGCACCUGGGAAGCACUGUGGGACAGUGGAGAAAUAAAUGAGCUGUGUGAUUGUGAUGGCAUUUAAGUCCUUAUCAUUAGUUUCAGAGCAAGUUCUGCAUUCAGAUCAAUGGGUGUAGCACUCAUUGCUGAGCUAGAACCUGUAGAGAUAGGGAGGAUUGCUCUGUGCUCCCAUUCAGAAAGCUCUCAGCCACCAGAGCUGUAACUUGCAGUCCUGGUGCCUCAGCUCAGGAGCAGGGCUCCGCAGCUAGGGUAGAUACAAUGGCUAUAUUAGCAGCAAACAAACCCCACAUUAUCAAGGGCCCUGAUUACCAGUGUGAUGGGGUGUUGGCUAUAUGCCUCUUAUGAGAAGAAGGCGGGGUACUGCCUGGGUGUUUGCCCUGGAUUCUCAAUUAGUUGUUUUAUGUACCUCUCAAAACCUCACUGCUGGCACUGCUGCCUUCCCCUUCUAGGACACCUGACAUUCAGGCACCAUGUUUUGCACAGAUUUGACAGCCACAUACCCAUCAGUUACAUUGAGGCUGCUCUUGUGAGCACCCUCUGCAUGUUAUUGCAGGGUGGCUCGUGAAUUCUAUGCCGUGCAACCCUGGCUUUGGGAUGGGUGUGCUGCUUUGCAGGGCUCUACUUUGUUUAGCACAAGCCACAUUGAAGCACAAAUGACAUCUGUGAGGACUGACAUGGUGUGGAAAGGGACCUAAUCAAAAAAGCAUGGGUCAAAUCCUGGGCCUUGGCUGGGUCCCUUUAAUUGCUGUAAAGUCCCAGUGCCAGUUGACCUACUGAGCCCCUUGCCCCUUGCACCGUGCAGGGAUAAGAGCAGGUAAAGCCCAGUAACAGUUUAACUAUGAGAUUAACUCUGCCAGUGCCACUACAGAGGGUCCUCUGUUUCUCCAGACAAAAGGUGCUGACUCCAGGCUCCCCAGCACGUUGGCCCAUGUUCUCCAUCUCCUUCACCCACACCCUGCAGUUCCAGCCUGACCCUCGGCGAAGGCAGGGAACCUCGGCUCUGUAGCCUUAGGUGCUACUGCCUGAAAGACGGCCAGAGAAAGAGCCAUCUUCCUCUCCAUUCCACUACAUCUACAAGGUCCCAGUGCUCUGCAGAACCACACACCAAGGUAGGAUGAGAUGCAGGGAGGCCUGUGAACAGUCCAGGUGCUCGGUUGUCUAUCCUUCAUGCUCCUAAGCACCACUGAAACCCUGGUUUCUCAUGCUUUGAAUUUCAUGGGCGUUUGGCUGUGCAGGACCAGGCUCCUGAACUGUCCCAAAGAUGACAAAGAGGUUCCUUCUUUGGGCUUCACUGUGGCAGUGAAUGGUUUUGCAGCCGGCUAGGCAAGAGGCAGCUAGGUGUGAGCUUAAUGAGGAUGACCUGCCUCAAAGGUUUCAUUUAGAAGAAGAAAGUACCAAGUGUUUUACUUAAAAAUGAACAGAUGUGUAGAGCGAAUUCUACCCUCCACUCGGAUAUGGUGAAUCUGAUCACAGCGCAUCCUGCCCAGACCUGAGAACAGACAGACAGACAGACCUGUGUCACAAAGUGGAACAGACUGAUGUGAACUCACCCGCACCAAGCUGGGGACGAGUGAAACCACGCUCGUGCAGACAGCAUGGAAAGCAAGCAGAGGUGAUAAGGAGCGGGGGUGUUAGUUGUUGUUCUUGAUUCUGCGUGGGAGAGAGGAGCAAUAUUGAUGAAGACUGUAAACAGCAAUAGGUGCCACCAAGUAAUGGCAACAUACAGCCCUGAAUGUACAGCUGCCAUUAGGCACCGAGUGCCUCUCUGCUGAACGCUCACACCAAGGGCAGCUUGGCUUCCAACAAGCGCCCAGCACUGCCAAGAGGCAGCACCCCCUGAGAACCGGGCUGCAGUCCUGAUGACCGUGUGCUGUGAGAGCCGUUUGCACCGGUGAGACAAAUACUUUCCUUUCACUGCUUCACAGAACUACGUUUCUCUUAGUUACUUGCACCGAGUGUGUGGGGCUGCACUAAUGCAGGCCUGGCUGAGAAGGGGAAACAGGAAUAGGGAUGGAGACAGAGACAGGGCCAGGGCCAGCCCUGCCCAGCACGCAGAUCGAGGCAGGUCCUCACAGUGCAGUGGAGUUGACCGACACCCCGGUGCAGUGUGUGUGUACCGUGUGAUGUGGUUGAGCAGCACACAGUCAUGUUCAGCUGCCUGCCCUGUUAUUGUGAGCAGCCUUGUGCUAGUUUCAGGCGUAAUAACAUCGUGACAUAACAGCACACCAUGCUGUGAUGACACCAGCACACGGAGUAAGCCACGGUGAUCUGAUCUCAUUCUGUACAUGCUGAGAUGCACACUGAUGGCUCCCAGGACAUGUGGGCGGCAGGUGGAUGGGGCUGGCACGUCCCAGCACCAGGUGGGAACAUGACUCCUGGCAAUGUCAGGGCUAGGAGCUCGGCUCUGCAGCUCCAGCUCUGCCUCAACUGCGGCCGAUGAGUCACUGCAUCUCUCUGUGCUCACUUCUUCCAUCUGUGGAAAGGUGACAAUAACAUUUCCUCACCUUACAGGGGGUGGGAGGUGUGUGCAAGGAUGAAUGAAUGUUUACAAAGCACCUCUGAGCAGCACAGGCUGGUUGGACUGUGACUGGGAGGAACCAGCGCUCGCUCUCCACAUUGCUCCUUCCUCCAGGCGAGGUGUCCUCAAGUAAACACUUCCCUCAGAGUCAACAGUCUUCAAUGAGCACAAAUGAGAUAAUUCCUCAGGAGAGAAACAGAGUGAAGAGUCAGCGCGCUGCCAGUAAUUUCAAUAAAUUCCGUCACAGGAACAGCGGAGUAACCUUUACAAGAGAAAAAAAGAAUAAAGUAGAAAAACAAA
Molecule: long non-coding RNA, 5606 nt
Organism: Tympanuchus pallidicinctus (lesser prairie-chicken)
Lineage: Eukaryota; Metazoa; Chordata; Aves; Galliformes; Phasianidae
Exons: 2
Source: RefSeq, a predicted model, not a curated record